This 251-nucleotide ribosomal RNA is filed under the name uncultured prokaryote. RNAcentral describes it as "partial 16S rRNA". It matches the Rfam family "Bacterial small subunit ribosomal RNA", at positions 525 to 775 of the family's 1533-position model. The record is from RNAcentral.
ACGGAGGAUGCGAGCGUUAUCCGGAUUUAUUGGGUUUAAAGGGUGCGUAGGCGGAUUAAUAAGUCAGUGGUGAAAUACUGCAGCUUAACUGUAGAAUUGCCGUUGAUACUGUUAGUCUUGAGUAUGGUCAAGGUAGGCGGAAUGUGUAAUGUAGCGGUGAAAUGCUUAGUAAUCACACAGAACACCGAAUGCGAAGGCAGCUUACUGGGCGAUUACUGACGCUUAUGCACGACAGCGUGAGGAUCGAACAG